GUUACUAUUUAUUUGGAAAUGUGAAGUUUUUUUUUUUCUUUUUUUUUUUUUUUUAGUAGAGUAACAGUAGCAAUGCCCACAGCUAGCAUCUGGAUCUUUGUUUCUAAAUAUUUCAUUCCCUAAUUUGUUUUCUAAAGAAAAUAAAUAAUAAAAGGAAUGAGGGCUAGGGGAGGGAGGCUAGAAUAAGUUUCCUUCUAAAAAACUUCUAAAAAGCAAUUAAGCACUCAAAGAAUGGUAGAGACAUGUGAAAAGAAUAGAAGCUGGCUUGGAGGAGUUCCACUGACUAGAUUUGGGAUUGUUUGAGCAUCAAGAAGAAUAACAGUAGUUAUUGAUAACAAUUGAAUAAAAAAAGAAUCUAUGGUUACGAAGUGAUUCUAAAUAGGAAGAAGACUGAGCUCCUCUUUUAAGAACAAUGCCUACUAACAUGUAGAAGGAAUGGAGAAAUUUGAAAAACAGAACUUUACUAUCAUCAUUGAAAUAAUUAAUUUGAGGAAAGAUUAUCCAUAGAUGUUAAAACUUUCACCAAGUGAAAGUUUGUUGGGGAACAGGGUAUCAAAACAGUGUGAAUGUAUUACCCCACAGAUUACUUACUAAUUACAAAGAAAAAAAGGUGCCUUUCAGUAGAGAAAUCUGAUGGAUACCACUUCAUCAAGUGAUCAAACUUAAUAUCACCAAUAGUAGGACAAACCAACAUAUGUGCACAAGGAAUAUCAUAACAGAUGAUCAUCUAUAUAUAAUAUUCUUACAAAUAAAUUUAGUUCUAAUCUAAUGAUGCAGAAACAACAGACAAAUUUAAACUGUGGUAGAUUCUACCAAGCAAUUGAUAUGGACUCUUCAAAAAUAUCAUUGUCGAGAAGCAAACAAACAAACAAAAGUGGUAGAAUUGUUUUAAAGCAAUUAAAUUAAAGAGGAAUGUCAACUAAAUGCAGUGUUUGAUUCUUAAUUGGAUCUGGAUCAAAAAGAAAAAAUCCAUAAAAACCAUUAUUGGGACAAUUAGGGAAAUCUAAAUAUGGAUUGUUUAUUACAUAGCAUUAUUAUAUCAAUACUAAAUUUUUUAAGUGUGAAAUGAUACUGUGGUUUGUAAGUAAAUGUCCUUGCUCUCUGGAGAUGAAUGCUGAAGUGUUUAGGCAUGAAGUGUCAUUAGGUCUGUAAGUUACUUAAAAAUGGUUGAGGGAGAAAGAGAGAAGGGUGAGGUGGGAAGGAAGAGAGAGAAAAAAAUGUGUAAAACAUUAACAAUAAGGAUAUAUGGGUAUUUACUCUUCCUAUUGCUUCAACUCUUCUGUGGAUUUAAAAUUUUUUUAAUACAAAACAUGGAAGAAAUAUAUAAAAAGGAGUACAAUAACAUGAAUACACAGACAACUAUUAUUUAACUUGUGAGUAGUUGUUAACUUUUCAAUGUAAUUUAGAGAAAGGUUUACAAGCAUAGAUGCUGCAGUUAGACUGCUGGGAUCCCAGCUCUACCACUUGGGAAAUGUGCAACCUAUACAGAUUACCUAACUUCUCUCUGCUCUCAUUGCCAUUUUUUAUUUAAAAAACAGUAAACUCACAAGAUUCAUUAGAGAUCUUACUCAUAGGUUUAUUGGAGGAUUAAAUGAGAAAACCCAAAUAAAGUACUUAGAACAGUACCCAUCUCAUUAAUAAGAGCUCAAUAAAAUGCUAAUUAUGAUGAGGAUUAUAAGUAUGACAAGGAGGAAAUGCCCCAGUGUCUAAGACACUACAUUAAAAAUUGGGGAUAUAAAAAUGAAUAGGAGAGCAAGUUCUCAUCCUCCAGCAGGUAAGUCUAGUAAGGAGAAACAGAAGUAAGCAGGGAUGUCCUGAUAACAGAUGCAUGUUAAGGACACAGAACAGGCAGUGAUUAAUUACACAGGCUUAGGAAAGUCAAAAAGGUUUGGAAAAGAUGUAGUGCUAGAAAAAAUUCUUUCAAAAAGGAAAUACAAUAGAUAUCUGAAACAUAAAAGAUAUCUUUCAUAAUGUAUGAAUUCAUAGAAUAUGAUGAAAUACAUUACAGUAUUUCUUUUAGUUGAAAAUUAUCAUUUUUUAAAACAUCUGAUACUGUAAUUUUGAGCAGGUUUGCUAAAGAAUCAUCACAAAAGGCCAGAAAAUUUUAAUGUAACCAUCAUCACCUUUUUUAGCAACCAAAAUCUCUAUGUUUAAAAGAGUCACUGAUACAUGAGUUGAAGUAUACAUUAUUUUUAAAAUUAAAUCAAUUUUGUUACUGGGCCUCGACUAAUACGAUGUCAGAGACUUGUCAUUUUGACCUUCAGGUGUUUUUAGUUUGCUUAUUUGUUUUCUAAAGAAAAUGAUAAUUAUUCCAAAUUUAUCUGAUGAAGAACCUUAAACAGAAAUUUGAAAACAACUUAAAUGUCCAUCAAUAAGAGAUUGGUCAUGUAAGUGAUGGCACAACAGUCUUUCUGUGUCCAACAUCAUGGACUACAAUCCAGGCCUGAACUAUUGUUAGAGGGACUUCCCUAACCCAUGAUUUCAGCAUGCCAUUCUGCUCCUUAUACUCAUUCACUGGCUCCUCAUCAUGUUCAUUUAGAUCAUUAUACUAUUUCAAACACUCAGCAUGGCAUUCAGUACCAUAUUUCAUGAUGUGACCCUUGCCUAUCCCAUUGGCCUCAUUUCCAAUCACAUUCACAAAUAUAGCAGUUAAUUGCAGUUCUUAGAAAUACACUCUCGAGUACCUCCACACUUUCACAUGGAAUGCCAUUCCCCCUCUUGUCUGCUACACUAAUAUCUAGACAGGCUUCACCUGUCAGUUUGACCAUUAUAUCACCCCCAAGAUUUUCACACCUCAUGCUGAGUUCAUACCCUCUUCAGUGCUUUCAUAAGCCUCUGUGCAUACUUCUAUCAUAAAUUAUAUGUAUAUACAGGUUUACUUUUAAAUAUAUAUAUCUUAUACCAUAUUUUCAGAGUUGUUUUUCUUAUCUAGCUCCUUCACUAGACUUUGAGCUCUUUAAAUACACAGUACUUGCUCUGUAGUGUACAGUCUCCUGACAAAGACAGACAUGACAGGUGUACAAAGUGUUAAAAGAAUACAGAAAAAGGCGUUUCUCUGCAGGGAGGCAGGAAUAGGAAAGAUACCAGGAAAAACUUUCAAGAGGAAAUGUGAGCUGAAUUUUAAAGGAUAAGUAGAAAUUCACCAUGGGAAUGGGUGAAGGGCCUUUGACUCAGACUGAGCAGCGUAAGAAAAGCCAACAGGCAUGAAGCAGCAGAAGUCUGGAAACCCAAGGGCCGUCCACUGCGACUGGGCCUACAACAAGAAACAGUCCUCCACAGAUAAGGCGAUGUCAGCCUGAAAAGGCUUCUACUCAAAUAAUCAAGAUUCUACCCAUAACUGUGAACAGCCAAUGGACUGUAAGCAGUAGAUGACACAAUCAGAUUACCUUUAUGUGUUUUCAAGCACAUAAAUUGAUUUCUGUUUAGAAUCUAAAGCAAGAGUGAAGAUCUAUGAUACGUAAUAAGGUCAUAAGCAUUUUCUUCUUGCAUGGCUGCUUUUGUUGUCAAUAGCAACAAGAAUUACCAUGAAAGCACAGCCAUUUCACUUGAACAUACAUAAAUAAUCCAGUUUGAUGAAAGUAAAGGGAAGAAACUUGAAAUGGUACUAAUAAUGGUCAGUGUUUGAUCAACCUAGAGAUUUUAGAGAUCCUCCUUAUACUGGAGCCUAGGCGGGGCCCUAUCCCUACUCUAUUCACAAUGUCUCUGGAUAUCAACUCCAUCAGUUGAUUACUGAUCUUCAAAAUAUAUCGACUUAAAAAAGAAAGACAAAAUGAACUGGCCUUUAAUCUGCUAAAUAAUACAGCAAACUUCAGAACAUUGUUAGUGAUUCUAACCUGAAACUAUCUUGUCUAAUCCAGAGCUGUCCAUCCAAAACCCUAUACAGCUCAUCCAUCACAGCUAGAUAUUCUGGGCUGGAUCUAGCUGAACUGUCAGAAAGCUAUGUACAUAAUGCUUCUUAAACUAUGUAUAGAACAGCUUUCCGUGAACUGUACUUUUAGAGUAAGGGCCUCAUCUUAUGUUGACGGAUCUUCUAUGAAACAGCUUUUCAAAAACCACCACUGGCUUCAUGAUAGGAAUGUUGCUGUGGCCCCUUCCAUUCCAUCAUUCACUCCCACUCCGUAAAGGGCCACGUGAAAGUCUUCCUUCAGAACUACAUGCAGGAAAACCAUAAUUCCUCCCACAUAACUUGUUUGCUUUUUCCCUGACAAACAACACAAAUUAAAUCAGCAAUAACAUCUCUUACCUUUGGCUACCAGAAGCUAGUAGCCAAAUUGUAGGACAUAUGUAGGAUCCUAUGGCUUACAUAUCUGCAAUUGAAAAACCCUCCUCCUAAUAUUUUUAUUUUACCCCCAUUUUCCUCCAUGUAGCCCCUAUUUCCUUAUUUUAAUUGUGUGAAUUCCUGGAAGCCACUUUAUAUACUUUCCCAAACAAGAUAGGGCAUAAACAAAUAGAAAUAAAGAAAUCAAUUUAAUUUAUCUUUUAAGGUAUCUUCUAAGGAAUCUAAAAUAGAAGAUGACUGAACAGAAGGUUUCUACUCUGUAAUAUUAGCCAUGAUUUACUCUCCUUUACA
Long non-coding RNA from Pan troglodytes (chimpanzee), 4570 nucleotides. RefSeq lists it as uncharacterized. Lineage: Eukaryota; Metazoa; Chordata; Mammalia; Primates; Hominidae. The record is from RefSeq and is a predicted model, not a curated record. The transcript is spliced from 3 exons.